Molecule: unclassified non-coding RNA, 266 nt
Filed under: uncultured fungus
Lineage: Eukaryota; Fungi
Description: partial contains 5.8S ribosomal RNA, internal transcribed spacer 2, and large subunit ribosomal RNA
Rfam family: 5.8S ribosomal RNA (bases 1-52)
Source: RNAcentral
AACGCACAUUGCGCCCGCCGGUAUUCCGGCGGGCAUGCCUGUUCGAGCGUCAUUUCAACCCUCAAGCCCAGCUUGGUGUUGGGGCACCCGGCCGCCUGGUCGGCCCGGGGCCCUCAAGUGUAUCGGCGGUCUCGUCGGGACUCUGAGCGCAGUAACUCGCGGUAAAACGCGCCUCGCUUGGUCCGUCUCCGGCGGGCUCCGGCCGCUAAACCCCCCUCUCUCCCAGAGUUGACCUCGGAUCAGGUAGGAUUACCCGCUGAACUUAA